RNAcentral lists this unclassified non-coding RNA (161 nucleotides) under uncultured Leotiomycetes. RNAcentral's name for it is "sequence contains ITS1". Lineage: Eukaryota; Fungi; Ascomycota; Leotiomycetes. The record is from RNAcentral.
AAGAGAAACUGCCCUUUGGGUAGAUCUCCCACCCUUUGUAUAUUUUACCCUACGUUGCUUUGGCAGGCCCGUCUUCUGACCACCGGCUUCUAGCUGGUCCGUGCCUGCCAGAGGAUCCUAAACUCUUGAUUUCAAGUUGUCCGAGUCCUAUAUAAUUGUAA